ACUCCUACGGGAGGCAGCAGUGAGGAAUAUUGGACAAUGGUCGAGAGACUGAUCCAGCCAUGCCGCGUGCAGGAAGACGGCCCUACGGGUUGUAAACUGCUUUUUUACGGGAAGAAUAAUACCCACGUGUGGGUAGAUGACGGUACCGUACGAAUAAGGACCGGCUAACUCCGUGCCAGCAGCCGCGGUAAU
This 192-nucleotide ribosomal RNA is filed under the name uncultured bacterium. Its description in RNAcentral is "partial 16S ribosomal RNA". It matches the Rfam family "Bacterial small subunit ribosomal RNA", at positions 335 to 524 of the family's 1533-position model. The record is from RNAcentral.